CACGGAGUCGUGGCGGGAGCCCAGGCCGCUGCGGACCACGCGAUCCCGCAGCCGGCGACUAGAGCCCACCUCUGCAGAGACAAAGGUGCUGAACCCUUUAUCCUUCGGGAUAAUCCGGUGUCUGGAGGACACCAGGCUCUCUGGUCUUGAGAACAGAUCUGGAAGCUACACCCCAGCUCACCAAAGACUCUCCAGCUUACACUAAACCACGGCCAAAUACAAAUGCCUAAAAACCCCAGAUGAACUCAAAGAUACAGGAGGCCAGAAUCUUAAGGACCUUCCAUUCCUCACGGGGUUGUUCAGCCCACGUGGGAAGAAUCGCGAGGUCAGUGGAGAGGUCUGGAUCUCCUUUUUAUAAAUAAGGUCAUCAUAGAAAGGCAUUUUCGUUAGUAAUGUCCGACUCAAUUAUUUCGGCAAGGAAUAGCUGAAAGUGGUGAAGGU
This 441-nucleotide long non-coding RNA is filed under the name Mus pahari (shrew mouse). RNAcentral's name for it is "lncRNA (MGP_PahariEiJ_G0003310.1)". Lineage: Eukaryota; Metazoa; Chordata; Mammalia; Rodentia; Muridae. The record is from RNAcentral.